AGUGAACGCUGGCGGUAGGCCUAACACAUGCAAGUCGAACGGCAGCACAGUAAGAGCUUGCUCUUACGGGUGGCGAGUGGCGGACGGGUGAGGAAUACAUCGGAAUCUACUUUUUCGUGGGGGAUAACGUAGGGAAACUUACGCUAAUACCGCAUACGACCUACGGGUGAAAGCAGGGGAUCUUCGGACCUUGCGCGAUUGAAUGGGCCGAUGUCGGAUUAGCUAGUUGGCGGGGUAAAGGCCCACCAAGGCGACGAUCCGUAGCUGGUCUGAGAGGAUGAUCAGCCACACUGGAACUGAGACACGGUCCAGACUCCUACGGGAGGCAGCAGUGGGGAAUAUUGGACAAUGGGCGCAAGCCUGAUCCAGCCAUACCGCGUGGGUGAAGAAGGCCUUCGGGUUGUAAAGCCCUUUUGUUGGGAAAGAAAAGCAGCAGGUUAAUACCCCGCUGUUCUGACGGUACCCAAAGAAUAAGCACCGGCUAACUUAGUG
RNAcentral lists this ribosomal RNA (492 nucleotides) under uncultured bacterium. RNAcentral describes it as "partial 16S ribosomal RNA". It matches the Rfam family "Bacterial small subunit ribosomal RNA", at positions 29 to 507 of the family's 1533-position model. The record is from RNAcentral.